RNAcentral lists this non-coding RNA (922 nucleotides) under Phyllodytes maculosus. The record is from RNAcentral. Lineage: Eukaryota; Metazoa; Chordata; Amphibia; Anura; Hylidae.
UGGUCCUAGCCUUAUAAUCAACUAUCACUUAACUUACACAUGCAAGUAUCCGCACCCCUGUGAAAACGCCCUUAAAUUCCCGCUAGAAAUAAGGAGCCGGUAUCAGGCACAAUUAUUAGCCCAAAACGCCKAGCUACGCCACAUCCUCACGGAAAUUCAGCAGUGAUUAAUAUUGAAAAUAAGCGACAGCUUGACUCAGUUAAAGUAAAAAGAGCCGGCAAAUCUGGUGCCAGCCGCCGCGGUUACACCAUGUGGCUCAAGUUGAUCUCUUCGGCGUAAAGCGUGGUUAAAGUCACUAAAAUUAUAGUUAAAUUAUAAUUAAGCCGUAGCACGCUUAUAUUUAAGAAAACCAAAAACGAAAGUUACUAUAAUUAAAACAACUUGAAUCCACGACAGUUAGGACACAAACUGGGAUUAGAUACCCCACUAUGCCCCACCGUAAACUUUUAAUUACAUCCACAUCGCCCGGGAACUACGAGCAAAGCUUAAAACCCAAAGGACUUGACGGUACCCCAUAUCCACCUAGAGGAGCCUGUCCUAUAAUCGAUAAUCCCCGUUUAACCUCACCAUUUUUAGCCUAUACAGCCUGUAUACCUCCGUCGCCAGCUUACCACGUGAGCGACCCUCAGUAAGCCUAAUGAUUUUAUACCAACACGUCAGGUCAAGGUGCAGCAAAUAAAAUGGGAAGAGAUGGGCUACACUCUCUAAUUUAGAGCAUACGAAAGACUAUCUAUGAAACCUAGUCAGAAGGAGGAUUUAGCAGUAAAAAGAAACUAGAGAGCUCUUUUUAACACGGCACUGGGGUGCGUACACACCGCCCGUCACCCUCUUCGAAGCCAAUAAAAAAGUCCAUAACACAUUUUAACCAAAGAGAAGAGACAAGUCGUAACAUGGUAAGUAUACCGGAAGGUGUGCUUGGAAA